GACGAACGCUGGCGGCGUGCUUAACACAUGCCAGUCGAACGGAAAGGCCCCUUUGGGGGUACUCGAGUGGCGCACGGGUGAGUAACACGUGAGUAACCUGCCCUUGACUUCGGGAUAACUUCAGGAAACUGGGGCUAAUACCGGAUAGGAAUCCUUGCUGCAUGGUGGGGGUUGGAAAGCUUCGGCGGUUUUGGAUGGACUCACGGCUUAUCAGCUUGUUGGUGGGGUAGUGGCUUACCAAGGCUUUGACGGGUAGCCGGCCUGAGAGGGCGACCGGCCACAUUGGGACUGAGAUACGGCCCAGACUCCUACGGGAGGCAGCAGUGGGGAAUAUUGCACAAUGGGCGGAAGCCUGAUGCAGCAACGCCGCGUGCGGGAUGACGGCCUUCGGGUUGUAAACCGCUUUCAGCAGGGGCGAAGCUUGUGGUGACGGUACCUGCAGAAGAAGCACCGGCUAACUACGUG
RNAcentral lists this ribosomal RNA (465 nucleotides) under uncultured bacterium. Its description in RNAcentral is "partial 16S ribosomal RNA". It matches the Rfam family "Bacterial small subunit ribosomal RNA", at positions 28 to 507 of the family's 1533-position model. The record is from RNAcentral.